This 1397-nucleotide ribosomal RNA is filed under the name Micrococcus antarcticus. RNAcentral describes it as "bacterial SSU rRNA". It matches the Rfam family "Bacterial small subunit ribosomal RNA", at positions 129 to 1476 of the family's 1533-position model. Lineage: Bacteria; Bacillati; Actinomycetota; Actinomycetes; Micrococcales; Micrococcaceae. The record is from RNAcentral.
UUCUAAGGAAAAAAGCCGGGGGAAAAUGGGGGUCUUUUUUUUGAAAGGGGCCGCUUUCCCCGCCGUGUGGGGGGGGUGUGGGAGAAAAAAUUUUUGGGCCAAGGGAAGGGCCUCCGGGGCCUUAAACCUUUUUGGGAGGGUAAAUGGGCCCACCAAAGGGGCGAGCGGGGUUGGCCGGGCCGUGGAAAGGGGGACCGGCCAAACCUGGGGAUUGAGAACACGGCCCAGACUUCUUACGGGAGGCAGCAAGUGGGGAAUAUUUGCCCCAAUGGGCGAAACCCUGAUGGCAGGGGCCCCCCUUGAAGGAAUGACGGGCCUUCGGGUUGGUAAACCUCUUUCCAGUAGGGAAGAAGCGAAAAGUGAGGGUACCUGCAGAAGAAGCUCCGGCUUAACUACGUGGCAGCAGCCGCGGUAAUACGUAGGGUGCGAGCGUUAUCCGGCAUUUAUUGGGCGUAAAGAGCUCGUAGGCGGUUUUGUCGCGUUUGUCGUGAAAGUCGGGGGCUUAACCCCGGAUCUGCGGUGGGUACGGGCAGACUAGAGUGCAGUAGGGGAGACUGGAAUUCCUGGUGUAGCGGUGGAAUGCGCAGAUAUCAGGAGGAACACCGAUGGCGAAAGGCAGGUCUCUGGGCUGUAACUGGCGCUGAGGAGCGAAAGCAUGGGGAGCGAACAGGAUUAGAUACCCUGGUAGUCCAUGCCGUAAACGUUGGGCACUAGGUGUGGGGAACAUUCCACGUUUUUCCGCGCCGGCACUAACGCAUUAAGUGCCCGCCUGGGGAGUACGGCCGCAAGGCUAAAACUCAAAGGAAUUGACGGGGGUCCGCACAAGCGGCGGAGCAUGCGGAUUAAUUCGAUGCAACGCGUAGAACCUUACCAAGGCUUGACAUGUUCUCGAUCGCCGUAGAGAUACGGUCUCCCCUUUGGGGCGGGUUCACAGGUGGUGCAUGGUUGUCGUCAGCUCGUGUCGUGAGAUGUUGGGUUAAGUCCCGCAACGAGCGCAACCCUCGUUCCAUGUUGCCAGCACUUCGGGUGGGGACUCAUGGGAGACUGCCGGGGUCAACUCGGAGGAAGGUGGGGACGACGUCAAAUCAUCAUGCCCCUUAUGUCUUGGACUUCACGCAUGCUACAAUGGCCGGUACAAUGGUGUUGCUGACUAUCUCGUGCAGCGUAGGUAGGCUUAUAUACCGCAGAAGAAUGCCGGUCUCAUGUUCGGAUUGGGGUCUGCAACUCGACCCCAUGAAGUCGGAGUCGCUAGUAAUCGCAGAUCAGCAACGCUGCGGUGAAUACGUUCCCGGGUCUGGUACACACCGCCCGUCAAGUCACGAAAGUCGGUAACGCACCGAAGUCCGGUGGCCUAACCCUUGUGGAGCGGAAGCCGUCGAAGGUUGGACCAGAUUCCC